GGGGAAUAUUGCACAAUGGGCGAAAGCCUGAUGCAGCGACGCCGCGUGAGUGAAGAAGGCCUUCGGGUCGUAAAACUCUGUCCUAAGGGACGAUAAUGACGGUACCUUAGGAGGAAGCCCCAGCUAACUACGUGCCAGCAGCCGCGGUAAUACGUAGGGGGCGAGCGUUGUCCGGAAUUACUGGGCGUAAAGGGUGCGUAGGCGGCUCAUUAAGUCAGAUGUGAAAGGCUACGGCUCAACCGUAGUAAGCAUUUGAAACUGAUGAGCUUGAGUUAAGGAGAGGAAAGUGGAAUUCCUAGUGUAGCGGUGAAAUGCGUAGAUAUUAGGAGGAAUACCAGUGGCGAAGGCGACUUUCUGGCCUUUAACUGACGCUGAGACACGAAAGCGUGGGGAGCAAAC
RNAcentral lists this ribosomal RNA (399 nucleotides) under uncultured bacterium. RNAcentral's name for it is "bacterial SSU rRNA". It matches the Rfam family "Bacterial small subunit ribosomal RNA", at positions 356 to 773 of the family's 1533-position model. The record is from RNAcentral.